RNAcentral lists this unclassified non-coding RNA (1109 nucleotides) under Zea mays. RNAcentral describes it as "misc RNA Zm00001eb148450". The record is from RNAcentral. Lineage: Eukaryota; Viridiplantae; Streptophyta; Magnoliopsida; Poales; Poaceae.
GACCCUCGCUUCACUUGUCACGGACUCGCGUCCACAAACCACAACCAGCUCACUCAAGAACAAAGAACCCAACCCAUGGCUUCUCCCAAGCCGCUCCUCCUGCUCGCCACCUCGUUCCUGAGCUGCGGCCUCCUGGUGGCCGCCGACUACGCCCCAAUGACCCUGACCGUGGUGAACAACUGCCCCUACCCGGUGUGGCCGGGCAUCCAGGCCAACUCCGGGCACGACGUCCUGGAGGGCGGCGGCUUCUUCCUCCCGCCGCUCUCCCACAAGUCCUUCCCGGCGCCGGCCCACCCCUGGUCCGGCCGCAUCUGGGCGCGCACGGGCUGCGCGGGCGCCGGCGCGCAGCUCCACUGCGCCACGGGCGACUGCGGCGGGCGGCUCCAGUGCGGCGGGCUCGGCGGCGCGGCGCCCGCGACGCUGGCGUAGGUGAACCUCCACCACGGCAACGACCAGACCUCGUACGGCGUGAGCGUGGUGGACGGCUUCAACGUGGGCCUGUCCGUGACCCCGCACGAGGGCCGCGGCAACUGCCCCGUCCUCGCCUGCCGCAAGAACCUCACCGAGACCUGCCCCGGCGAGCUGCAGCUGCGCUCCCCGGCCGGCAGCGUCCUCGCGUGCAAGAGCGGCUGCGAGGCCUUCCGCACCGACGAGCUGUGCUGCCGCAACAUGUACAACAGCCCGCACACCUGCCGCGCCUCCAAGUACUCGGAGUUCUUCAAGCGAGAGUGCCCGCAGGCCUUCACCUACGCGCACGACAGCCCCUCGCUCACCCACGAGUGCGCCGCGCCGCGCGAGCUCAAGGUCAUCUUCUGCCACUAGAGCUCGGAGGGCUGGGCUGGGCUGGGCGCGCCGCGCCCGCCCGUGCGCCGCCGCCGCCAACAAGUGUCGCUAGUAGAGGUAGUAGGAUGCCUGGAAUAGCUGUGGGCCUGUGGGCUGUGGCUGUGUUCCCGUCGUGUCUGUGGCGGUGUGGCCUGUGUAGGCUGUCUGUACUCUGUAGUAUACUGGGUUGUUGGAUGCAUGCGUUCUGGCCGCAAGACUGAUGUCAUGCUGUUGCUGCUUACUACAGUUUGCAGUCUGAAAUAAAAACUUGUUUGAUGAGCACUGUA